UUCCCUUACCCUGACCCUAACCUUCCAACCGUUGAUUCCUGCAGCAAUCUUCCCUAAGGGAGACACCCCGGCUGUAGGCUCACUUCCUCUCCCAAGUCCCAUUCCUUUCACAAGAGUCAAAUCCCUACAGUGGAUUCCUGGACCGUUUUUUCUAAAAGAAGAUCCCAGUCCUCUGGCUUGCCCCUCCCGUCGUGACUCCCCGUUUCCUCUGGCUUACCUCUACUCUCUCUCUCUCUCAUUGUUUCUCACUGUUGCUGGUUAAUCGCUUCAGGAGCUAAGGGGGGAAAUGGCGAUGGGGAUAAGGGUGGAGAUAAACAGAGGUUACUACACUUGGCAUGUGGAUACCACCCAAGCAGCCUGUGCAGGGGUUGGAGGCUCAAGCAAAUCAGUAUUUGAUGGGUCUGAAUGAAAAUCUGAUGAAACAGAUGUUACUUGAAGCUGAGUGACUUUCUCAGGGUCAAGCAAAUAAGUAAAUGGAGGAGCCAGAAUUAUACCCCAGAAAGCUAUGUGCUGGCAAACUGGCCUCUACAGUUCAAGGUUGGAGAACCCCAGCCAAUGCCCCGAGGGUGGGACAGAACCUAGGCGCCAAGCAGUAUCCUCAGGCUGCAAUUUGCUGGACACACAGAGUCCUGUUCUGCAACCUCCCCCUACGUUGUGGCUCAUUGCUUACCUUCUGACUCAGCUCUGAAAAACUAGCUCCACAUUUUUAACGCUGCCAAGAGCUCCCUUCUCUGUGGAUUCAUCUAAGACAACAGAUAUUAACACUAGGAUUGUGAUGGCAGUGGAGUCAGUACCAACUGACCCAAGUAUUCCUAGCCUGUGGAAUCUUUAGACUCACUUAAUUCAUUCAACAUAUACUUAUUAAGUGCCUACUGUGUCAUGAACUUCAGGGAUAUGAAAUUCUGCAAGAUAGUCUCUGCUUUUCAGUACCAGGAGCCCCAGAUAUUAUACUUAAUGUUUCAAAUAGUGGAUUCUGGGUUGCUUGAAAGUCAGUAGGCAGCCUUUUUGUCAUUAAAUUUCCUUUAUUGCUCUGAUGCAUUUUAUUUUAUAGUGACUCUGACUACUUCAGAUUGUUCACAAUAUUUUAAAACUUACGUUAUUAAGAUUGCUCAAUUCUAGGCUGUGGGAUGGGAGCCAGAUAUAUUGGAGGGAGGAGGCAAGUAAGUGCUGGAGACCUCAGGAUUUUAUUGUAGGGCACAUGGACUUUGUAUGAGAAUGUCAAAAACUCAUUUUGUCUUUAGCACAGGAAGAUGCUUGGCAAAGAGUUAAUGACACUAAAGAAUUCUUACAAAUGUUAUGGAUGGGUGUUAAUUUUCACAGAUAGGCAUUCAUUGUCAGAUGUUUAUGCUCUCCAUUCCUGAAACUCCUCCUGUCUGUGGAUCCCCAUCACAAGGAGGGGAGGGCUACCAUCCCAGCUGCAAACUCUCAUUCAAGGUUUAUGCUGCAGCCAGCAGUGUCCUUGGAGUCUAGUUCAAAGCUGAAGAGAGUGAACCAUGGAACUGGGAGCCAUUGGCGGAGAGGCUGGCCUGAAGGAAGGGAAGUGUUUCAGCCAGAAUGUACUGACGCACAACCAGGAAACCACAAGACUGGUGAGAACCUUUCCAAAACUGAGCUUUAUGAUCAAAAGAGGUACAGGAAACAGCUCUGCCAAGAGUCCUUUCUGCUCCUGGCUGGAACCCUGAGCUUCUGAGGCUCUCUGAGUCAACUCUCUGAACAGAUGCUGUCACCCAAGGAACCAUCACUAAAGCAUUUUUUUGCUUUGCUCUGAGGUGGCCUCACUGGUGGGUGCAAGUGAGUUACUGUCUCUUUUUCUCUUUCUUGUUUCUUUCUUUUGACAGAAGUUGCCAUGUGAUUACUCAAUUCUGAAUUUUAGAGGCCAUAGGUUACUGCAUUUAUGCCCUUUGCCAACUGACUAUUGUUUGGUGCUGGGCCUGCAUACAAACACGACAUCCCCAAACUCUUAUCAAUACCUAGAUCACCUGAUGUGAAUCUAUCAAUACCCUGGACUUAACAGGGUAUUGAAGGAAAGAGAACCGGCAAUUCCUUCAUUUCUUACAUCCCAGCCAGUAGUCCUUCUCCCAGGCUAGUCUUCCUUUUGUUUCCCCUAAGAAUGACUCAACUAGGAAUUGCAUUCUGAUCCCUGUCACAGAUAUAAAUCUUGUCUGGAUACAAGGUCAAAAUAAUUGUGUUCCUGUGGAUUCUUUUUCUUUUUUCAACCAGAGUAACUACCAGUUGCCAUGAAAUAAAUCACAUCAUCAUAUGGCAGAUCCAGCUAAUAGCUGAGACUGGCAGGAUAACUGAACCGUGUACUCAGAGCUAAAUGAUGGAGAAAUUGGACUGGCCAUGGAGCACUUCAAAUUGAUUGCUUAGUAAUGGGAUAUUUUUCCUGGAAAGACAACAGAAUACUUCUGAAUUGUUGGUUCUGUCAUGGGUACAGGCUCCCAUGUACAGGAAAAUAAAGAAAGUGUGAUGAAUUUUUCAUCUGGCCUUCUGCCUACUUUCUUGCUUUCUGCAUGUCUCCAUUUUUAGUCUGUAAGCCCUGCCUAGAUGACCAAUCACUAUUGCCCAUGUGGCAUAAAACCUACAAUUUAACUAUACUUCUUACCAAACUCUCAGCAAGUAUGAGGUAGCCAACAGCCUUUUCAAGAUAAUGACUGAGUCUUAGCUUAGGUUUCAGUCAUUUUAGGAAACAUAAAAAAUUCAAUGGUGGGAGAUCAUACACACUCUGCAAAGAUGUCAGAAGUCAAGUUUUGGGAGAGUCCACACACAAACUGAGCAGUGAUGGUAAAAUAUAUUUUUGAAAUAUUUCUCCUCUGUGACUGUUAUGUGAAGUAGAGCAAACACAUUGUGCUGCAGUGCUCUUUGGGACAUGCCUUUUUUGGGAAGUGCUAACUUUAUACUCUGCUGACACCAAACAUUUGAAUAUAAAACCUUAUUUUUUUCUCUCACUCUGCUCCACUUUUGGCUCAGCUUAUUCUACCAAAACACACUUCAAAAGACUUCUUUAUAGAAAGAAUGUUUCAAAAAUAUAAUAUUUCCAUCUGUUAUUUCAAUAAUACAUGCUCUGGGACUCUCUUUAUGAACCACUUUCCUUUCUUUGCUCCCAUUUAGAUGUAUAAAUAUUUGAUUGUAAAGCUCUAAGGAAUAGUCAGCCAAUCGGGUCACUGAAUUGUGAACAUUCCUAACCCUAUAAUUUUGUCUGUAGCAGGCACCUCCUGCUGUGGAACUAACUGCUAAGGGAUUAUAGCAAUGUAAUCCUCAGACUGUUCCAUCUCAAGGUUACUCUGAAGUGGAGGGAAGGAAGCCGUUUUAAUUUUGAUAAAAUAAACUUUAUUUUGUAACUU
This 3344-nucleotide long non-coding RNA is filed under the name Homo sapiens (human). Its description in RNAcentral is "HSALNT0017343". Lineage: Eukaryota; Metazoa; Chordata; Mammalia; Primates; Hominidae. The record is from RNAcentral.